UAUUGGACAAUGGGCGAAAGCCUGACCCAGCCAUGCCGCGUGUGUGAAGAAGGUCUUCGGAUUGUAAAGCACUUUAAGUUGGGAGGAAGGGCAUUAACCUAAUACGUUAGUGUUUUGACGUUACCGACAGAAUAAGCACCGGCUAACUCUGUGCCAGCAGCCGCGGUAAUACAGAGGGUGCAAGCGUUAAUCGGAAUUACUGGGCGUAGAGCGCGCGUAGGUGGUUUGUUAAGUUGGAUGUGAAAUCCCCGGGCUCAACCUGGGAACUGCAUUCAAAACUGACUGACUAGAGUAUGGUAGAGGGUGGUGGAAUUUCCUGUGUAGCGGUGAAAUGCGUAGAUAUAGGAAGGAACACCAGUGGCGAAGGCGACCACCUGGACUAAUACUGACACUGAGUGCGAA
This 402-nucleotide ribosomal RNA is filed under the name uncultured bacterium. RNAcentral describes it as "bacterial SSU rRNA". It matches the Rfam family "Bacterial small subunit ribosomal RNA", at positions 362 to 757 of the family's 1533-position model. The record is from RNAcentral.